This is a small nucleolar RNA of Panthera pardus (leopard), 118 nucleotides long. The record is from Ensembl. Lineage: Eukaryota; Metazoa; Chordata; Mammalia; Carnivora; Felidae.
AGGUCUUGUUCGUGGCUUGUUAGUCGUGGCUAAGGCGUUCCAUGCCGGGGCUGCGGCAGCCCCAGCGGCACGUGACUGACUGACUCGUGGCUCUCGGCUUCAGGUCCUGGGGACGCAG